AACGACUCUCGGCAACGGAUAUCUCGGCUCUCGCAUCGAUGAAGAACGUAGCGAAAUGCGAUACUUGGUGUGAAUUGCAGAAUCCCGUGAACCAUCGAGUCUUUGAACGCAAGUUGCGCCCGAAACCUUAGGGUCGAGGGCACGCCUGCCUGGGCGUCACGC
Molecule: ribosomal RNA, 162 nt
Filed under: Oxybasis glauca
Lineage: Eukaryota; Viridiplantae; Streptophyta; Magnoliopsida; Caryophyllales; Amaranthaceae
Also listed under: 1 other name
Description: 5.8S ribosomal RNA
Rfam family: 5.8S ribosomal RNA
About the family: 5.8S ribosomal RNA (5.8S rRNA) is a component of the large subunit of the eukaryotic ribosome. It is transcribed by RNA polymerase I as part of the 45S precursor that also contains 18S and 28S rRNA. Functionally, it is thought that 5.8S rRNA may be involved in ribosome translocation.
Source: RNAcentral